CUGCUGCCUAGAGAGGACUGGAAUUGACUUGUCUGACCGCUCUUUUUGAGGACAUUAUCUGCAGUCCCUGAAGGGAGCAUGUCUCCAACAGGCCAGCCUGCUGCUCUCUCCUCUCCAGCCAACCCCACCCUGCUUCACACCCUCAGUGGGCCUGGAGGCAACUGGAAUGCACAACUGACCAUGUCACUGUUUUGUUCUGGGCUCCUUGGAAGAGUUACACACCCCAGCAACUCAGGUCCAGUUUCCUUAGUGGGAAUCAGAGAGCCCCAAACUCUGCUCUCAUACCUUAAGGGCCAACCAGACUGAGAUCCCUGAACUCACACAACUUCUUCUUGCUUCUGGGAGUCUCCAUAUGCCACUGGGGACUCCCUUUCCCCUGGAGUGCAUCAGGAGGACCACUACUGCCUACCUGCUUGUGCAUCUGCUAGUGACACCUGCUCCCCUAUCUGUCGUGUCUCACUGCCCUUUCUAGUAACAUUGCCUGGGCCUGAGAAGACAGAAUGUGUGGCUCCUGACUCCUCCGCGUUCCUGUUGUCCCCAUCACACUCAGGACACCAUAGUAUGAUUGUCUUUUAGUCUCCAUCUCUUUAUCCCCUGCCUCAACCCCUCCCAGUGACACACAAAAAAAGUAAUGGGAAACUGCAAGCACUGGGAGAGCAGGGCAUUUAUCAGGAAAUUUAUCAAUUUCUGAACUAUGUAGUACAGUGCCUGGUUCAGAACAGAUUCUCAAUAAAAUGUUUGAAUAAUGUA
This is a non-coding RNA of Macaca mulatta (Rhesus monkey), 750 nucleotides long. The record is from RefSeq and is a predicted model, not a curated record. NCBI's taxonomy places the organism in Eukaryota, Metazoa, Chordata, Mammalia, Primates, Cercopithecidae.